AUGCCCAGUUGCCAGGCAACGCUCGUGGGGAAGCCGGAUUUGCAGGGAGCCGCCUGCGUGGGGUGGGGCCCAGGAACUGUGCCCCCCGCGGGGCUGCUGGCCCGUGCACCUGCUGUCAGGGUGUCAGGUCCCCACCGUGCAGAAACGUAUGUCCGCACGUGGAGCGCGUUCCCAUCACCGUCACUGGGGGUCCCAGAUGUGAGCUGGGUCUUAACACAGAGACUGAGACCUUGGCGUCACCAGGCAAGGCGCAGAGGCGGGAGGGACGGGCCAUGGGGGUCCCGCUUGGAGGGCAGAGCAGGGGAGGCUGUGCUGGGGUGCCGCAGGUCCGCUCACCCGCCUCUCCUGUGGGAAGGUCUUCCUGCAGCCAGCCGUCUGCAGACCCCGGGCCCCCUCUCCAGGGGCAGCCUGCCUGCUGGGGGGCAGGGCACUCCGGGCCGCGUUCCCAUGGAAGGAGCGAGCAGUCCCCCGGGGCCGCUAAUUCAGGCCACAGGCAGCUGUGCAGUGGCGCUGAGGCAGUUAUUUCUGGCCCCGAGAAUUCCUGCCCAGAAGCCUGUCCCCACGGCCGGGCGGUCGUCUUCCCCAGGGGCCCCUCCUGGCUCUGGGCCCCCGCCCACACCUUUCCCUUGCGGAGUUUGGGGACCAAGACAGGCGGAGGUGUGGCUGGAAGGAGGCUGUACCUGGCAGGGCUGGUCCCUCCAGGCUUCGGUCCCAGACACAGCCAGCCUGAGAGGGCAGUUCCCGAGGCCUCAGCGGCUCCCAGCAGGAACCACGCCAGAGCCCAGAGCCAUGAGGAGGAGCUGUGGCCAGAGAGCUAGAGGAAGGGAGCGAAACGGGGCUGGGGGUCGGCUUCACUUUCAGACAGUGACACCCCUCGGGGAGGCUGCGGGCCCCCAGGGCACUUGUGCAUGCUGCCACCAAGUGGCUGAUGGGGUCUCCACGAGGCACUGGCUUUCCGAGGCGGUUGCUCGAAGUCACGGUGAUGGAGCUGAAGACAGGGCCCUUUUCCCCAGUUGCACCCUGAGAAAACCCCGACUCAAGCUCUUUAUUAAAGAGCUAAGCGGAGACGUUAGCACUUUUCCUAAUAGCACGGUUUUUAGCAGCGGGCACAAUGAGAGGGAGCUGUGGGCAUGUGCUCCGGCUCUGCGGCUCCGCGAGCAAGGGAGCGGGGCUCUUCCUCCCUGA
RNAcentral lists this long non-coding RNA (1185 nucleotides) under Sus scrofa (pig). Its description in RNAcentral is "lncRNA (ENSSSCG00070005281.1)". The record is from RNAcentral. Lineage: Eukaryota; Metazoa; Chordata; Mammalia; Artiodactyla; Suidae.